AGAAACUGAAACAUCAAAGUCAUACUACAGGAGUAAAGAAACUCUACCAAAGCAAAAGUUUGCCAUCAUGCCCGUUCUUAGGAUACCAUGGAUAACAUAGAACUACUGAGUGGAACAUUGGGAUUGCUUCCUUAUCUCCGUGAAGUGCCGGACAAACCACCUCACACAGCGAUAAUGGAUACCGAAGGCCUAGUUUUAUACCAACAAUUGAUUUUCCAUACUAAAUGUUAAUAAUAAUUCAAUUAGAUACAUUAUUUUUCAUGUUCGUGUUUUGAGCUGCUGUUGGCUAUGUUUGGUGUGUAUACACAACCUUAAUAAGAGACGUCCAGUUCAUCACAAUGUCUGGAAUAAUAUAAAAAGAUUGACCGUUGUAGUUGAAUAGUCUCCGGAGAGUGGGUGGCAUGCAAAAUCGAUCAUUUGAUGGAAAAUAUCAGUUAAUAGUUGUUUUUUUUUGUUUUUUUUUACUGUGGAAAUAAUCAAUUUUUAUAAAAUCUAUCAUUACUAUUUUAUUAUUAAAUUUUUCUCUGCUAAAA
Molecule: long non-coding RNA, 533 nt
Organism: Ostrea edulis (European flat oyster)
Lineage: Eukaryota; Metazoa; Mollusca; Bivalvia; Ostreida; Ostreidae
Exons: 2
Source: RefSeq, a predicted model, not a curated record